GUAAGUUCUAUUUUCUUUUGUGAGAGUGGGAAAAUUAUUCACUUAUUCUCUGUAAUUCAGGACGUUCGUAAAAUAGCAACACCGGUACCACUUUUAAUGAGAAUUUUGGGGCAUUGUAUUAAAAAUGUAGAGGCAGCAAGAUAUUGAUAAUGGACUACACAACUAUUGGAGAAUGAUUUAUAGCAGAUAUCAUGAAGAUAACAUCUUUUUGCAGCAGAGAAAGAAAGAAAAAGAUGAUGUGAGAUCAACUUUAGGAGCAUGGAUGCAGGCAGCCAGUUGUUGCUGAAAACUGUCACUCUUCCAGCUUUGAGUGCUCUGAGUACUCAAGGGCAUGUGGGAAACGAAGGACUCAGUAAGGAUCAGCAGAGAGAGGCAUUUGAGUGCACCAGAAGUUUUUUAACAUGUGCUGAGAAUGGAGAACGUCUGAGUAGUAACAGCUUUUGUAGUGGUGUAGCAUUCUCCUGCUCCAGAACCCUGCACGCUCAGUUCUUCCAGUCCACAGAGCUCCCGCUGAUUUUAUAGAAGAUGAGAGUCCUCAAAGCUGCCUCAUAGGUGCUGCAAAGGAUGUGGAUGGCUUGUCCUUCUCCAGGAUGUGGGGAGAAGCAGAGCAUUAUUUGUCUCUCUCCAUUUUAUCAUUAAACAAGAAUCAGC
This 651-nucleotide long non-coding RNA is filed under the name Gallus gallus (chicken). RNAcentral's name for it is "lncRNA (ENSGALG00010021460.1)". Lineage: Eukaryota; Metazoa; Chordata; Aves; Galliformes; Phasianidae. The record is from RNAcentral.